Long non-coding RNA from Asparagus officinalis (garden asparagus), 606 nucleotides. RefSeq lists it as uncharacterized. NCBI's taxonomy places the organism in Eukaryota, Viridiplantae, Streptophyta, Magnoliopsida, Asparagales, Asparagaceae. The record is from RefSeq and is a predicted model, not a curated record. The transcript has 3 exons.
CAACCAAAUUGAACCAACUCCUCGGGAAUCAGAUUACUACACUUGGUAUUGGGACAUAACCCGAAGAUGGAUACUUCAUUCGACCACAAUACCGGUUGAGUCGCAAAGAGGAUAUGUGCCCCGGGGUAUAGAUGAGAGAGAAUUAGUAUCAGCAAUAGAUGAAGUUCAAACUCUUGCAAAUCGUGGCUUGGAAUUGGCUCGAGCAGCAGAUAGAAAUCCCGAAGCACAUGAACAUGUAUCAAUAUAUCAGGCUAUAAUGCAGAGGCUUCAACAAGCCUUACACCGAACUCACGAAGAUCGUCAUGAUGGACGGGAGGUAACGCCAUUCGUAUAUACACGACAACAGCGACAAAGUCGAGGACGACGCAGAAAUGACGAUGAAGCUGGACCUUCCCAACGUGUCGACGAUGGAGCUGGACCGUCACAACCACAAACGCAACCGGAUCACGAACUCGUCGAAGGGCGGUAUGGAGGACGACGAAGACAAAGGAGGAGGAGGAGAGUUCUUGGAUGUAUGUAAACUACAGGUUAUAUACAUUACAAAACUAUUUAGGGAUGUGAUUUUUGGAUUUGUAGUCGAUAAUAUCAUGUGAUAUGUUUGAUUUC